UGGCUGGUGACGAGGCAGAAAGCAUCGCCACACUCAGGAAAGGGCACGGCCAGGACCUCUGCGUGUCCCACCAGCAAAUCUCUUUGCUGCCAGGGCUUCCAGAAUAAAGCCUCUCCUUGGCACCAUCACCUCGCUUUGGGACACGUAUUUGGAUCAUGAUAUCAUAUUAGGAUUUGGAUGGGUGUUCAGAUCAGCACAGAGAAAGGCCCAGGAAGCUCCCUUGGCAGGGCAGCAGCCGAGUCCCACAUGAGGGAAUGCUGCAGCAGCACCUUCCAGGAAAGGGGGAAAACAGCCCACCCCGAGUCACAUCAGUGCCACGCCACAUCUAAACAACAGGGAACACAGGGGAAAAAAGAAAAAAAGCAGAAAGGAAAGGGGGAAAGUGGCUUAUGGUAAUGAAGUCAAUGAAUCAUGUGGUAAUUAACAAUCUGAUUGUUCUGGAGAAUGUUUUUUUUUUCCUAACCAAAAACCACCUGAACACAACUGCAGUCAAUAAUCUCACCCUGCAACCUUAUUUCUGAGGGCUGACAAUUUGGCAGAACUGGAUACCACCUAUGGAAGACAUUAGCAGCAGCCAUGAAAGCAUUUGUUUGAACACAGGGAAAACUUGUACCCCAAGGAAAGUACAUAUUCUCAGACAUUCAAACAUUACAAUGUGCUUUUUGCAAUCUUCAUAGCAGUAUUUCAGUUACUCCACACUUUCCUCUCAGCACUAAUUUAUGGAAAUCCAAGCUAGAGAAGAAACCGUUUCAAAGAAAUGUCUGUCAAGCAUUUUUUUUUUCUGAGAAGGUGCACACUCAUCAGAAUGGGGAGGAAUGAUGAGAAGAAUCAGCACCUUCAGGGAAAGUGGACAUUUUCCAUAAUAAAAGAGGGGAUGAAAGGCUGGAGUGCAAGGUUAGGGCUUUGAAAAUUCAGCCAUACACUCAUCUUAAACCUUCUGGAGAAUCUCAGGAAUUUUACACAAUUUGCACCAGAAACAAAACAAUCCUUCUUAAUAGCAAUAUGAUACUAAAAACAUUAAUCAGUGAGUUCCAGAAAGGCAGUGUUAACAGAGAAGACCGCAUUCACUUUUUUUCUCCAUGCCCCAAGUGUUACUUCCUCCUAUAUUACAGAACAUCUACCAGCUAAUGAAAAUACGGGAAACCAGACUUUAUGAUAUAGCACGGUGAUAAAAUGAAUUAUAUUUAAAUGUCAAUGGAAUCUAUGAAAUAGAGCAAAUUUGGAAGAAAUCCAUUCAGUAAUUUUAAAGUUGUGAAUAAUUAGCAUGGCAUUUUCAAAUGCACUUGAUCAAAUUCAUGACCUAAUUCUGCUCUAAAUUCUUUAAUUUUCAUUUUUGCAAAGUUAUAUGAGCCAUGCAAUACUACAGUAGUAUUAGAAUACUGCAGCAGUAGUGAGUCCUGCUGAAAAAUUCUACCCUUAAAUUAAUGACUCCAGCGAAAGAAUGGGACAUGGCAAUUUGGGGCAGAAUGAAGCCCAUUCUUUUCAAAGGCAGCACUCCAGAUUUUCAUAAAUGCAAACAAAUGCAGUUUGACCUCAGGACUGACAAUGUACCUAAUUCCAACUGCCUAAGUUGCAUGGCAAGAAGAAGCUAGACUGGAGCUGAAAUAGAACAACUUCCAAUGGAAAACUGAGAUACUCUAAAACAUUUUAUCUGUAGCAAGCCAGUAAUAAUGACAUUAUUUUGACAUUGUCAUGUUAAGUUUCAUGAUGAACAGCCACAAAUAUACCAAGUGUGAGGCACAGAUCAAGCACAGGUCUGGUCAUAACCUCACUGUCAGAUGCCAAAAAGCUGUUCCUUUUUAUAGCACCUCCUUCCAUCUCACUGAAUUCAUCAUAUUUAUCCCCAAAUAAAAGAAAUUACUGGGUUUUUUUUUCCCUUUGUUCAGAAAAGCACAUGCUUUAUUCAAGAGCCUCAGACAUUCCAGUGUAAAUUAUUUGUACUUCUUGCUACAAAAAAGUCUUGCUCCAGGACUUUGUGACAACACUGACUACCUGAGGGAAAUCAAAUUAACAGCAGCUGAGACAGAACUAUUAAAGGCAUGUUUUCCCCUAUGUACAGUAGUCUGCUAACGUAUCCACAGGCACUGAGAGUGAGGAUAAAGCAAGGACAUUUCUCUGAACCAUCACUAUCUCUCACAUUACUGUCUAUUCUUGUGAGGGAGCCGUGGAUGCAGUGAUAUUGAUAGGCACUGGGGUUCCUUGAGCCUCAACUCAAGCAUGCAGAUUUUACAGACAUGCACACCAUGAAGACAGUAGCUUCCAAAAUAAAUCAGGCAAGUUUUUUUUGCUUAAGACUACAGAGGUAACUGCAAGGUUGUUGCUAGUUCUGAGUGUAAUGAUGCAAAGAAGUGGGGCACCUAAAGCCUCUCCUCUGCCCUCAUGCCCUCAGGAGGCACCAUCCAGCCUCCAGAGAAGAUGGGUUUGGGAUGGCACCCAGCCUCUUCCUGCACAACCUGCCAGGGCAAGAUGCUCACAAAGGAGCUGUACUCGUGGCCCUGCAUUAACUCCUCCUGUUCAACGAGGGAGAUGACAUCUCUGCUGUUUCCAGAGAAGGACAAACACUCAUACACUAGCAAAAUGCUCAGAGAGGCAGGGUCCACAUUUGUAACUGGGAAUACCACUCUGAAGUGCAGGCAGGAGACCACCACAUCAUGUCCAUGCUGCUCAGGCAUCACCUGAGAGGUCAGUGGGGCAGGGCUUGUCGUUAAACACCACGCUAGCAGUGGCAGAGACCUGACCAGGUCUCAGUUAUGCCACAGGUUUGUUUUGUCAGUUUAGGAAUUGACACAUUUACUUCCUCCCUCCCACUUCUCAUCUGCUUUGUCUGCAUAGCCUUCAGUAGUUUUAAGGUGGGUGUCAUGUUUCUAGGUGCUGAGAGGAACUAAAACUUGGAGUACCUUUGACCUCCUAGCACUACUGGGACUAAAUAUUGAACACCGUUCAAGUAACAUUUUUAUUCCAUUUAGUGAGUAGAAAAAAAUAACUGAGUUCAAAGAAAAAUGCACCUUGCUUCAAAAGCCUCUUUAAUCAGCCCCAGAAUCUGAACCAAUGCUGAACAUAAAGAUUUAAAUUUGGCUUAAUGAAAACUGAAUAGACCAAAAAACAACAAAAGAAGUCUCUUUACAAAAGGUAUGGAUUCAACCCAGCCAGUAAAUAAUUAAAGCUCCUCUCUGUUCCCUUCCACUUUCUAUUUUAAGGCUUUUCAUUAUAUGGGAUCAAAGUCAGCUCGAGUUGGAGAGAGUUAGACAAAUCCAUCACGGAGACAGAAUGAAUGUAUGAUCUCAUCCCCUGUGACAGCAGCCCGACGGUACCACCUGUUUGAACUCAGCUCAUACCACUUCUGAUGACACUGGCAAUGUCAAGCAAAUUGCUCGAAAUUCAAGGGGGAGGAACACUCUCCACCAAAGCAAACAAAAAAAAAAAAAAAGAAAAAAAAAAAAAGAAAAAAAAAGGCAAAAAGCUGUAAAUCCGGCAUGAGGAAUGCCAGCGCUGCAAAAUGAGCAGCUACAGAAAGGGUUCAGAUCCCAUGAACAUAAAUCACUCUGGACCUCAGAAAAUCAGCUGUAUGAAAAAAGACUCAAAAAAGACUCAAAUGAGAAAGCAAUGCAAGACAGCUUUAUAAAAAAUUAUAAAUAAUUAAAAUAAGGAAAAAUAAAUGCCCUUGUUUAUUUUCUGAAAAUGAAAGAAAAAGAAUACAUUGAAGCGAGAAGACAAAAUAAUCAAGAUAUGAAAGGCAAGUUAAACAGGGAGUUUAAAAUUGACAGGGAAAUUUAAAAGAGAUUAAAGGAAAUUCUGUUCUACCUUCUGGAACUUAAAAUGUAAAUUCACCCUGUGGAGCUGUCUGCAACAUAAUAUAAUUGGGACCAGAAAGGACUAUAAAAGAAAAUAUUAAUUAGACUGUUAAUGAAUACCUGCAUGUUCCCAUUAGAAACUCUUCUGUUUUAAAAAGAAAGAAUAUAAUCCUUAAUGAACCUUGCCCUUUUUAAGCAAUAGAAGACAAACAUUUAUAUUUCCUGACACAAACAAUGAUUAAGUGUCAGGGAUUAAGACAUCACCCUUAAGGGGAAUCCCCAAGGAUUAAGAAAAUCCCCCUCUUGUCACAUUAUUCCGGAACUGUCAGAGGGCCAGUUCCUGAGCACUGUCAGGAACAAUGUACUGGCCCAGAUCCAACACACCAAUGUUUGGUUAACACUAAAGUUCAGUCAAAAGAUUUCUGUCUAAAACACUUGUUUAAGGAAAAAGAUGACAGCAUUGUGAGUGUACCAUAAAGCUUUAUUUUCUAAACCAUUUUUUGCUCUCACUGCCAGUAGCUAGAAGCACUUGAAGAUUAAGGCAGCAAGCAUACAUCAGCUCUACUUGGUUUGGUGUAUAAAAACACUUUGGUCUAGAUCUGGGUCAAGAUACACAAUUUCACUUCUUUGAGCUGUGUGAUGUGCUCAACACAAACUUGACUUCAGGUCUGCCGCUGUACCAGGCUGAUUUGCAGUUCUAGGAAGUUGCAGAGUACUCCAGCUGAUUAAACUUGCAACUACACAGAUAUAAGAGUCAAACUGUAAAGUUAUUUCAGAUAUAAAAAAAUCUCACUGCUGUGAAAUUUAUGUUGUUUUUUUUUCUCAGUCUACUAAGAUGAAAACAAAGAAGCAGUUUGGCACUUCACCGGCUGAAAGAGCAUCAAAACAUGCUCUAAAUUAAGACUGCAUUGCAGGACCUUUUUCCAGUGAGAACAGGCACUCUUGGGAUGCGUAGAGGCCCCCAACAAUGUUUUCAGUGACCUCAUUAGCAUCUGAUGUGUAGGAACAUCUUUAAAUGUGUACUUUUCCUGUCUACCUUGAAAUGGCCCUUUAAUUUAACUCAUAAAAUUACUUUUAUUUGGUACCAAAUAGAUAAAUAAACCAAUGUUAUUCAGGCCCAACAAUAUUCUUCAAAUGAAGGGGGGAAAAAAAGCCUGUAAUAAAAAAAUUAGAUUGGAAAUGUUUUGAUGCUUUAUGUGGGAGUUAGCUGUAUGCAGAAUUGAACUGUAUUUUCUUGGUUUAGCUGAACUAAGCUGUACUGACAAGAGCAUGCUGAAUUAGAUCCGGUUGUAACCCGAGGUGAACCUGCAGGGUAAACCUUACGUCACUAUAUUGCAGCAGUUCUUUCUUUUUUCCAUGAGCAACUGUGGCUCACUUCCCUCAGUCUCUGAAAUGCCAUAUCGUGUGUGCUGGCCAUGGGGUAGAAGUCUAAAUAGAGCAUGUUUAGAUUUAUUCACUUCAGGCCUCUGGGAUUGGAACUGAGCUACAGGGAGAGACUGAAAUAAGACUACAAAGGUAUGAAGGAGGCAAAUGCGAAGGUAAUGGGGUGUUAGAAUGCACCCUGUGUUUAAAGACAUUUACCCAUAAUUCUGACUUGUACGUUUGGGCUUUUGCCUGUUCAAGGCAAAGCCAACACCAUGCUUCUCUCUCAAAGCCACAUAGGGACAACUUGCCUUGCAUUGUGGGGUAACUGACCCUAACAGGUGACAAUGCCAAGACCUUCCUGGCUAUAGUAAUAAAUAUUUAAUUUCUACAGCACCAUCUACACAACUUUGCAGAAUAAGAUGCAAACUCUCUUGCAAGAGCCUGGCAACUCCUUAGCAUGAAGGCCAAUGAGGACAUAGGGCACCUGGCAUGAUAAUCCCCUCUACCAAAUUUCCAUGGCCACAUCACUGCUUCAGAGAGGUAACUGAGCAGGCAGAACUGUUUAAGUUCUACCUCACAGCCAGGCCUACAAAACGUGCUCCAUGUUCUACCUUCAGGCAUGCUGCUAAGCACAAAACUACCCUCUUUUUGCCAGAGCCAGCUGGCAGCCUCGGUGGCACAAGGCAGGUGGGCACAUAACCCUCUGUUAUCUCAGUGCCUGAUGGCUCCUUUCUUUGCUAGCUUUAUCCCUGACUUUCUGUGGCAUGGCAGAGCACAUAAGAGCCCUCCCUGAAUUAAUCCAUAUACUUGGAGAAAAAGCAACUCUAUUUGCAGUUGCACUAGAUAGGCAAUAGACCACUGUCCGUAACACAGGAUCUUUACCUGCAGUCCCUGGAAGGAGUCCUCUCCUUGCUCAGUUGGAAUGUUACAGGACACUGUAAAAGGUUAAGUGCUAUGGGGCUAAAUGGUAUUUUCCAACUGUGUAUAAUUAUUUUUUAAAAUAAAUUCAGAUACAUGACCCUGUUACUGAUUUUUCUUCAGCUCAUAUGCAAUGGAGAUGUUCUGGAGACACCAUGAUAGUGCUUAAUAAAAAUAUGAAUCUCUGUAUAAUUUCAUCACUUCAGCCUUGAAUAACUGGAAAUCCUCCUCCUACAGAAUUUGUCAUGAUUUUCGCUCUUUGAGUUCAAUGCAAGAAGUGCACAGCUAAAUUAUGCAGGACUAUAAACUUACAUAACUGUUUGUAAGAUAGAAGAACAUAAAAAAUAUAGGAGCUUUAACAGUCAGGAAUAUAGAGAAGUCCAACACAGAACUGAGGAAAAAUGAUUUAUUGCUUGUUCUUCAGGUAGACAGGUUUACUAGUAUUUAAUUAGUACAAAUAGAAGUAAAUCUGAGAAUAUACUGUCAUUUCCUUAGACAUAUGGAAACCAAGAGCAGGCAUAACUAAUCAUGAAGCAGCUACCUGAACAAACAUCAAUAUAAUAUGUAGAAAGGUGUAUUUACACUAAGAGAUCACCCAUCUCUUGCCUUAGUUUCCCCUCUUGAACAGCAGUGGCAUGAUGAAGGAAGCACCACAGGGGAUACACCCACAUGGCUCACUGAUACCACUUGCACACAAUCUUGAGUAUCAGGCAUACACAGCAAGCAUAAUUCCUUUCACUGCCUACCUACCAGGAGGUUCAUCAACAGUCUACUCUUUAUGUCUUUUGGUAAUAUGCAUUCUCCUUUUCUUGGAGCACAUGUAGUCUCACAUUGCCCAGGAAGCCUUCUGCUCUCAAUGCAAGAAUCUGGACGGAAAUAAAAUCCAUCAAUCCUCUGCCUGGUUUAGUAAAUCUCUCUCACACUGUUCAUCAUUGUCUCUAGCCCUGUAACUCGAGCCCUUUGGCCCUCUGCUUGUGGGGCUCUUUAAUCCUUUAGCUUUCUAUCUGGAUGGCUGGGGGCACAAUUUGCCCAACACCUGGUCUCUUUUUCUAGUCCCUGAUAAGGAUCUUUGCUCUCACUUGUGGUCUCUCCUGCCUCUGCUGAAACAGCAAAGAGCCUUUUACAAAGUCAUGUAUAUACACACCUUACAGUCAGGUUUUCUUUGGCUUACAAUGAAAGCCACAGGACAGCACAAAUGAACCUGAAAGGGUUCAGGAUGCAAGGUACCCUUGUAAAAAUUACACUUGGAUACAACCAGAAACAGGGAUGAAAAGUGGAUUCCUUAGCAUAUGAUAGCUUUUCAGCAUACUCCAAGCAUGUGCAUUUGGAAAUUCUUGCUGCUGUUCUUCAUGCAGAUUACUGUUUGCAGCUCCCUUGCACUGUUCUCCCAUUAGGUGUGUGAAUGAAGCAUAGAAACAAUUUGUUUUAUCGCCUCCACUCUCACCAAGGAAUUAAAUUAAAAAUAGCAGUAUUGCAUCACUUUUAACAGGGCAGUAAAAUAGGACUAUAAUGGCUGCAGGCUUGCUCCUUCCCCACUGUAGCAAAUCCUGUAAUCAGAAGGAGGUUGCAGCUCUGCUUGGGAUCCUUCUACUAGAUUUUGCCCUGAGAAAAGGUUUGUUGAGAGGGAGGUUACUGUGGGGUAAGUGCCAAAAUGCAUGCCUGUACUCUUGGUCCUCAGGCCAUUUGGUUGGAGCAGCUGAUGAUCUGUUUUGCUGUUCCAUCUCACAGGCAGCCCAUUUCCAUGGUGAUGCUCUUCUAGAGAGACCUGCCAGCCAAGAUGCAUGGGGGUCCAUUUUAUUGAGAAAGCUGCUCAAUUCAUAGGAGCUUUACUUUAAGCCUAAUACAGGUUGCUACUUUUUAAUUUUUACUUUCCCAGGGACAGACAGUGGUACCAGUAUCCCCAGUUUGCCAAUUCUUUCCUAUCCUACAAGACAUCGCAAGCCUGCACCUCAGGACAGGAAGUGGCUAACAAAAUAGCAGGACCCAUACUGCUGACAUCCAUUUGAUACAUUUUUUCAAAACCAUUGGGCAUGAAUCAGGUCCAUGGAAACCUGCAAACAAUAAUCUGAGCUUUAAAAAACCAAGAGACUAAAGAUGUCUGCAUCAUGCAAGUGAUACUCAGCUAAAAAAGCUCUUCAGUUGCUCCCUUAGAUACAUUACACUCUGCUUACUGUUGGAUUUUGAAAAUGCACAAAAAUACUUAUCUGAGUAUCUUCAACUGCUGUCAGAUCUAAGAUGAAGGCUACUGAGGCUAAAAUAAGGGACAGAAACAACCUGUAGAGGAAUUUGGUGUUUUGGCUUAUUUAAAUUUAACACUUUAUACUUAAGGAUAUAUUUGGGCCCUGGUAUUUAAGGGCUUUCUCCACAGAACACUCAUUAAGUCCUACAAGGAAUGUACUUGUGCCAUUCCCAUCAAUACUACUGGAUUUACAGGUGCAUUGAGACUCACCCCUGCGUUCACAACUCCAGCACAAAAGCCCUUGGCUUCACACAAGACAACAAAUGUGCAAAGGAGUAUCAAGGACACAGGAGCUACCCGGAGAUACUCCUCUGCAGCCUUUCCAACAGCACUUGGAGAUGUUUGCCCUCUGCAAACAGACUGCCAUAGAGGAAGAUUUGGGAGCAGGGGCUGGACCACAGGACCCAGCAGUCCACCUCAGUCCUGAGCACAGCAUUCCCAUCAGCAGCUGACUCCAACCACGAAAACAGCAGUGGAAGAGCCAGCCCAAAGUGUUACAUUUCUUCUAGUCCUAGGUUCACCACAGGAUUUAUCUGAGGAUCAAGACAUGACAUCAGAACACAACAGCUGUGUCUCCUGGUUAGAAAUCUCAGUUCUCUACAGUCUUGGAGACAUUUCUUCUGCUUUUGUUGACUUUUUACUGUUUUCUCAGAGCUACUGAAUUAUUCAUCUGUCAACAUAAAUGUAGAGUUCGUCAUAUAAAUAUGUAAAGUCACCAUUUUAGAGCAAACACCCAAAUACAAAUUCAUAUAAAAAGCUUUUUCUAGAUCAUUAACCCUGCAUAGCAAAAGACGCAAUAUACCACAAAUGUAUAUAGUAGGACUGAAGUUGAAAGUAAACUCUGAGUAGGUCAGUAUUCCAGCCUACUCUCUGCUGUGAUACUUUUUAAAGUAAGGCUUCCAUUCUGAUUUGCAAAGCCAGUCCCUGCUUCUUGCCUCACUUGAUACAAUCCCAAAAGUGAUGUUCAUCUCAACAAACUUAUCUAUUAGACUGCAUCAGAAAACUGCCAUUCUCUGUACUAAUAUUUGCUUUUCAUGCAGAGCAGCUACUUCCUACAAGGUAUUUUCAACCUGGACCUAUCUCUUGGUAGGAAAUCUACAGAUCUGAGUGAGACAACAAUAAGCUAGAACUAAAUACUCCCAAAACACCCAGUCAGUAUUUUUACCUUUACAGCACAGGUCCUGUUAAGACUGCUACACAUAGGACAUGUCCACGUGUUCUGCUCACCUAGACCCCUGAGAGAAUAAAGGGGACCAAAGACUUAUUUGUCAGUGCUUAAUUUACUACGUGAAUUUUCUGCAUGGUCAGUUAUACUAUAUAAAAUAAUCCCAAUGCUGGUUCAUGCAUUUUGCAGUCAGCUUUAUCAGAUAAAGUAUAAAGAUUCAAUUAUAAAUAAUUUUAAAAGAACAAUUACCUUUUAAAUAACAGCUUGAGUUAACAAAAGGAACAGAUUCAUCACUCAGCGGCAGGAAGAUCAUAUUCUACGUAAAGACAGCCUGAGCAACUAAGGAAUGGAAAAACCUGCUCAAUACUCAACAUGUGACUGCAGUUCUUGUAAUAUAUUCACUGUAAACUCAGCAAUCCCAGUUUGAGCAAAUAUUGGGGCAAACGUCAAAAGACUGAUUUGGUUUUGAUUAUCAUUUUACUCCAUUUUAUGGAAAAAAUGUCACACAAUGACUCUAGAAAAGGAGCUAAGAAAGUAGACUAGGAUUUGCUGUCUCCGAAUGCAGUGUCCCCCUUCCGUUACCCGCGAGUAAACCGGCAAAGGCAGAAGUUAGGAUGGCCAGUUCAUAUUAUCAUAUGAUCUGUAUGAUCAUCUUCUGUCCUGUUGCCCUCAUCUCUUCCCUGGAUGGUUAGACAGGAACAAUGAAUACACCAAAACAACAGGAGAUGUCAUUUGCAGUCUUCUCACCGGCUUCAAAGGCCGGACAGGCUGGCCAUUUGAGAUGCAAAUAUUUCAAGAAGUGAGACACGCUGUUGAGCAAGGAGCAGAGCCAUGUUUGUCAUCCUACUCUCUGCAUUGUAUGUAUUUAUUUCAUUCUCCAUAGUCACGACUUCAGAACGUGUUCUGUAAAAUCAAGCGCUAUUUAUGCUCUUGCCCUCAUUUAGCCUCAGAAAACAUUUAAAAAUCCUAGAGUUCUACUGUAAGCAUUUCCUAGGGAAAUAUGAUCAUAUAAAACAUUGACACUUCCUGGAAAAGAAUGACAGAUCCUUAAUAAAACUGACAAACUAAAAUUUUUAUAACAAGCUCUCUAACCUGCUAUACCAGCUGGCACCCAGGGUAAGAUAUCAUGGCUGAAACUUUGUCCCAUGCAGAAGAUGGAGUUUUAUGAACUGGAAUUAUGAAAGAAACUCAGCAAAAAGAGGGCUGGCAGUUAGGACAAAGUCAGUGCAAUACAGUCCAUGUCCAAGAGAGAGUGAAAAGAGAUGGAUGCUGGAAGCAUGCAAGCUAUCUGAAAGCUGUUCAUGUGAUCUAAAGUUUGCAAGGAAAUUAAUGAUGGCAAAUUUCACAGCAGAAGUGUGGAUACAAGACUUGCUCUGCAUUCUGUUGAGUAGAGCCACUUAAGUACAUGUUAAGUACUUAGAGCAAGGUACUGAAAAACUGCAUGUUUAAGCCAGAUUUUAUUCCAGAAUGCAGAAUCCUGCAACACAAACUUGUGAGUUAUUUGCACUUAAGAAUUACUUUUUUCAUUAAACUGGUACACACUGAACAUUCAGGUGAAUGAGUGUCUGGUGAGUUCUGAUACAACUUGAGCUAAGCUAUUGUCUCAUAUCUGAGGUAACAAUGAUCAUGGGAAUGCAAAGCAGAAAAGAAUACCAUAAACCACCAUCCUCUACCAUGCACUUGUGAUGAGUAGCAACUGCUCUUCAUCCAUUUUAGGGCAGAACUGCAAGGCAGCACAAGCCAACACUGUCUUUGGUUUUAAAGUUUGUGCUGAAACAGCUUGGGGAAGCUCACACGGGACUGUAAAUUCCACCGGGAAAAUGAAAAUUCUUCAACUGCCUGAAGUAUCCUACCAAUCCUCUAGAUAAACUAGAAAACUCAAAUCAAAAUCGAUGUCUACAUGAGGUUUUACUCUAACUCUGUCUACUUAAUUCAGCUUCCUGACUUAGAUGUAAAUUCAGAGCUACAAGGAUUACUGGAGGGUUGAGAUUUCAUCACUCAGGAGACUGGACUAUGGAGCUGCUUUUGGACAGCAAAAUACAACCUCCCCACUGGGCACAGAAGCUGCAUACUGAUGACAUGCCAAGAAAAAAAAGUAUCUUCAGGCUGGGAAACCUGACACAGUAGGAGACAGAAAGGAUGAAAUGCUGCAGUGGCUCAGGAAGGAAAAAAAAAGUUCAUACUGAGGUAAAGAAAACAACAAAUUUGGCAACAUUAAAAUCCUUUGAUCAAGAAUUUUUAAAUGAAACAUUAAAAAUAUCUGAAUGGGAAGUUUUGGGUUUGGCUACAGUUUUUUGUUGAUCAAUUUACACAGAAAGCAAAAGCUUCUAGCAAAACAUUCCACAGCAUUGAAGAUUAACUUUUUCUUUCUUUUUUUC
Long non-coding RNA from Passer domesticus (house sparrow), 11856 nucleotides. RefSeq lists it as uncharacterized. The record is from RefSeq and is a predicted model, not a curated record. Lineage: Eukaryota; Metazoa; Chordata; Aves; Passeriformes; Passeridae. The transcript is spliced from 4 exons.